GACGAACGCUGGCGGCGUGCUUAACACAUGCAAGUCGAACGGAAAGGCCCUGCUUUUGUGGGGUGCUCGAGUGGCGAACGGGUGAGUAACACGUGAGUAACCUGCCCUUGACUUUGGGAUAACUUCAGGAAACUGGGGCUAAUACCGGAUAGGAGCUCCUGCUGCAUGGUGGGGGGUGGAAAGUUUCGGCGGUUGGGGAUGGACUCGCGGCUUAUCAGCUUGUUGGUGGGGUAGUGGCUUACCAAGGCUUUGACGGGUAGCCGGCCUGAGAGGGUGACCGGCCACAUUGGGCCUGAGAUACGGCCCAGACUCCUACGGGAGGCAGCAGUGGGGAAUAUUGCACAAUGGGCGGAAGCCUGAUGCAGCAACGCCGCGUGCGGGAUGACGGCCUUCGGGUUGUAAACCGCUUUCGCCUGUGACGAAGCGUGAGUGACGGUAAUGGGUAAAGAAGCACCGGCUAACUACGUG
Molecule: ribosomal RNA, 468 nt
Filed under: uncultured bacterium
Lineage: Bacteria
Description: partial 16S ribosomal RNA
Rfam family: Bacterial small subunit ribosomal RNA
Source: RNAcentral